Molecule: unclassified non-coding RNA, 379 nt
Filed under: uncultured Gammaproteobacteria bacterium
Lineage: Bacteria; Pseudomonadati; Pseudomonadota; Gammaproteobacteria
Description: contains 16S-23S intergenic spacer region
Source: RNAcentral
UCCGGUUUGUCACCGGCAGUCUCCUUAAAGUUCCCACCAUCACGUGCUGGCAAAUAAGGAUAGGGGUUGCGCUCGUUACGGGACUUAACCCAACAUCUCACGACACGAGCUGACGACAGCCAUGCAGCACCUGUCUCUCAGUUCCCGAAGGCACCAAGUUAUCUCUAACAAGUUCUGAGGAUGUCAAGAGUAGGUAAGGUUCUUCGCGUUGCGUCGAAUUAAACCACAUGCUCCACCGCUUGUGCGGGCCCCCGUCAAUUCAUUUGAGUUUUAAUCUUGCGACCGUACUCCCCAGGCGGUCAACUUACUGCGUUAGCUGCGCCACCAAGCACACUAAGGUGCCCAACGGCUAGUUGACAUCGUUUACGGCGUGGACUAC